This 3171-nucleotide long non-coding RNA is filed under the name Gallus gallus (chicken). The record is from RNAcentral. Lineage: Eukaryota; Metazoa; Chordata; Aves; Galliformes; Phasianidae.
AGGAAAGCACUUGAACAUGGAAACUCCCACUCCACUUUAUUUGUGAGUUAGCCCUGCAGGAGGAUGAGGCAGGAAUUGAGACGCUAUAAGUGGACUAAGUGGCCAAAGCCUGUGACAUUAAGGAGUAGGAAAGGAUGCUGAGAGGAUAAUCUCAGAGAUGCAGCUCUCCAGCUGAUGAAAAUCAGAAGAGCCAGAUAAUCACUGAGAGGGAUUCCCACCUAGAAAGAAGGCAAUUGCAGGGGCUUUAAGAAAAAGGGUGCAGUAGUUGCUCCAGUUCUGCCUGUCAUUCCUGCACCACUGCCUUUCCAAGCACUGUCUCUUAAGAUGCUGGAGGAGGGGCUGAGGCCCUUUUAAUGAAGUGAAAGGAUGAGCGGGAGGCUGACCAGAACAGCAGUGGAAAGAGCAAAGACACAUGCUGAGAGCCCUGUGCAUGGGGAAACCAGAGCCGCAGCUUGUUCCAGACCCCGGAGCCUCUGAAGCACAGAUGUCUCCAGGAAAUCUUCACGCUUCACCCCAACAGAGCUCUGGCCAGGAAAAGAAUCUCCUUGGUCUAUUUUAAGUUGUAAAAGGAAAGAAUAUGAGACUCUUCCUAAAUUCUUGAAACCGGUAUCUGGGCCUCUGGGAAUGAAGAAAGACUCUGACUGUGACUGCAUUUAGGGGCAGUACCAUUUCCUUGGGAGAUAUAAAUUGCAGUGAAGACAAACAAAAAUACUGCUGAGAAGUCGAGAGGUUGAUUUGAUGUCGGUGUUGAUGCGGCGCGCUCCCAAAUGUGGUGCAGCAGCUGUGAGCCAGAGCUACAAAUCCCCAGCAAACAGACAGGACAGCCCAGCGCCGAGCCCGGCUCGUGCUGCAGAUAUGGCUCUCCAGGACUGCUGCGCUGUGAACUGAACGACACCGAGGCGCUACCAAAAAGCACAAACAGCAAAGUCUGCGCUGGAGGAAAGCAAAGCGCAAAGCGAAACCGGUAGACAGCGAACUGAUGAAACAACUCGUUAGAAAGAGAGGUUUGUAUUAGGAAUUUCCUAGUUUGUUGGUAAACCCAUUUCAGUGGCCUCAGCUUUGCUGUCACCCACGUGGACGUGGAAAGGUUUUGGCUGAGAAUGAUCUAUUCAGCAAAGAUGCAAAUUCCGUAUUGCAGCCCCUGUAUUCACAGCAGCGAAUUUGAGCAGCACAGCAGAGAAUACGGCUCUGCUUUCCUCGGUGAGUUUCCCACCUACAUCAGAUCUAUUUACUCUUCCCUGCUCCAUAUGAAAUAAGAAAAUAGGGAAGGAGCUUUCAGCCCUCGCACCCUGAAGCCCGAUGUCCGUUUGUUGCUGUUCCCAUUGGGACGAACAGCAGCGCAGCGCAGUGCGGCUGAUGGGCUUUGGGUCCAUUGCACAGGGAUUGGGCACUCACACUCAGCCUGCAGAGUUCAGAGCUACAUCGCCGUGAUUUUGGAGGGCUUGGAUCAGCUCUUUUUGUUUCCCUAGAGGCAGCGCUAUCCUAUGGGAUGUGUAAUUACUCAGUGCUGUCUUUCAUUAUGGAAUUAUCAAAAGGGCAGUUACCAUUCCUGAUGAAUGUUUUUUGUUUCAUCAGCAGGCUGAUAUUUCAGUUUUGGUCAGGGAACAAGAAAGCAGCUUCACUCAAAGCAGAACAUCCAGCUUCAUGCCACUGGAUCGUAAUUUCACACAUAAGCAACUGCUGUGGGAACAAAGGACAGAGGUGAAGGCAAUGUUUUCUCCUUUUCAGUGAAAAUAUCUUCAUGCUCUCUCAUUCCCAAUAGCUGAGAGCAGAAUUUAGACACAAUUUGUGCUUAAAAUUGGAGGCACCUGGGGAGGGAGGUUUGUAAGAGGGGAGAGAGGAGUAAUGAGUGUAAAAAAUAGAAAACAAAACUUUAUUUUAAAAUGAGGACAAAGGAGGAUUUCUCUGAAGGCAAACAAGAGCUGCCCAUGGAUGUUUCUUGCUAUUAAAACAUAUGUUUUCAGAAGUUAGAAGUCAUGGAUGUAAUAAAACCGUGGACCCAAGAUUGAAAUAACGCUGCAUCUUCUGAGCCAGCCCUCCUUCAUUCACUCCGACCAGCAGAUGCGGAGAUUUCAGUGCCAUCACUUAUGCAGGGAAAAUACACAGACGAGGAAUGUUAGAGCACACCCAGCUCCAGAAGUGUUCAAUAUAAUUUCAGGAAGUGUGACAUAUGUGGUGGAUUUUAACUUAAAGCUCAUGUACACACACCUAUCCACAUCGAACCCCGGGUUACACUUCAUCCCGAUGUGAAAACUGACCAGAAAUGCAAGAAAACCGACUGCUUUCUGUUGUUGCCACAUCUGUAUCACAAAGUGCUCUCGUUCCCAUUGGGUUUGUGCCCCAUUGACACUAAUGGCAGCAGGAACAGCCAAAAACACAGAAAUGUGUGCUGAGUGUUGCUGGCCAUAGCUCCAUCAUUACUUUGUGCCGGCAUUAUUCUGUCACUGUUUUCUGCUGAGUGCCCUGCAGGACGGCUGUGUCACCCAACAAACCCAACUAACACAUGUUCUAACUUUAACCCACAUUUUUUUCAUGGCCAGAAACAUGUAGAAAACAAAUAAAUGAACAUUUAGUCGAGAGGUUUAAUUAAGCAAGCAAUUAAAGAUGCUCGCACUGCGAAGUCUGUUUGUGUUAGUAGUACUUAUUCCCUUCUCAGAGAAACCUUUAUUGUCCAAAGGUUUAUAUUGUGGAAAAUCACUGCCUUAACCUAAUUUUCCCUGCAUCAAAUAUAACUUAACCCACAGAAUAUAUUGUUGUGGAGUGAUGCCUUGUUUGUUGUUUCUGAAAUGAACAACCCCUUCCUUGGUGGUGCCCUGGGUUGGGUUUUUUAAGUACCAAUCUCAGGAGGGAAGGAGGAAUUUAUUUCAAGAGGAAUUUCUCCUUCUCAGGGAAACAAUUUCUUCUUUGUCUAUCGCAGCAUCCUGAGCUUGCUGAAGGACUGCACUGACCUGAGAGGAGGAGGGCGUGAGAUCUAAGGACAGCUUCAGCCCACAGGGGGCACAACAUUUCUCCCCCUAUCUCUAUUUUUAUGAUUCUUUAAGCAAGCAUUUUGCACCUGGCAGCUCUGAGAAACUCCGCGCUGCUCUGAGCUGCUGCUUCCUUGCAGGAUCGGGCAUUUAAUGAGCUCUCAGCAGCCUGAUCCCGUUAGCACUUGCUCAAGUAAAUAACUGG